GCCUACUAAUACUUACAUUAACAUUUUCUGCGGGAAGUUUUACCUGUAUUUUACCUCACACCUUGCAAAUAAGAGUUUCCUCUGCUUUUCACAUUCAGAUUCUUUGAGAGAGAGAAAAUGCUGAAGUCUUGCAAUAAAAUGCAUUACCAUAAAUGAGCUGCUGGCCAAGCCACACAGGAAAUGCAGAUCUAUAUUAACAUCUGAAACAGCUGAGAAGCUGUAGUCUUAAGGGCUGACCCCAGGAAUCAUGUAUGAAUGUCUGAAUACGAGUGCAAAUUCAGUCCUCGGAAGCAGAGGGUUUGCAGGAGAAACUUUCAGCUGUACCCCAGACUGCUCUCUGUGUUUGGGAACCUGCCUCAUCUGCUGUCUUUAGGAUAAAGUAAAUUCCCCUUUCCCUUGCUUCCUUAUAGAAAAGGGACAAGGUUAAGAAACAGCCUGUUGGAAACCCUGGCUAAGGUGGGAUUUCUGUUUCUAUUAACCUAUGGGAACAGUACAAACUCAGGCUGAAAUAUAAUCAAUUAAAUCAAUGGUAUUUAUCUUUACUCUUCAGAUUUCAUCUUCAGUCUUUUCUUGUGACUUUCUCCCAUAUGAACUUCCAUGGCAGGGUAGAGGUUGAAGGGAGUUAUCUGUACAAAAAAAAAAAAAAAAAAAAAAAAAAAAAAAAAAAAAAAUCUAAAGCUUCUAACACGUGUUUAUAAAUAAUAGGUCUGUUGUUUUAAAUCUACUUCAUCUGAAACGUGUAAUUCUGACCAUGCUCUUCCUGGGUACAGGGGUCAGCCUCUCAAGGUUUGGUUCAGAACAGGCAUAAGAAGGAGGCUUACUCUUUUAUUCUUCUCAGCUGAACAGAAUUAGUCAUUUUUUAGUGUUUCCUGAUGUCCGUUCCCCCUUGUUCUCUCAGAUUAACCCUGCUUCUCUUCCCCUCCUGCUCUGGUUUCCUAUCUGUACCUGUAGCAGAAGUCCUCAGCAGGCUGCAAAGCACUCAGAUGGUGUGGGCAGACUUCUGGACCCAAAGAAGCACGUCCAUCCUUGGCCGAAUGCCACAGCCUAAUGCGUUCUGCACAUUAACUUCUGCCUCACUCUCCCAGGUGAAACAAGCAUUGUAGGUGUUUUACCAGCAUAGAAAUGGACAGGCUUAUGUGCACUGAUAAAGUAUGCCAUCAUUUGGCUUUGGUGACAGGGCGCAUUCUCAUUAAUACUACAUGUCGUGCAUGUCACCACCCAGACAGUUCCACCUGCAUGCAGAGCUGGUAAGUGUUGCCCUGAUUCUGCAGGGGAUUUCCCAGGUCAUGGCACUUUCCUCGGCAGCAGCAGUGCUCACAUUCCUGGAAAUCCUAUCCCGCGCUAGGUAACAGGAGGCUCAGGACUCCAGCCUCAUCCAGAGAACAAAUUCCAGAAGCGCAGCACAGAUUGCAGACCCUAUCGGGAAUGCAUCACAACAACAAAGUUUCUAAUUUUGGGACUCAGUACCAUUAUUCUUCAUCUCAGGUCAAAAGUAAUUUCUUAUGGGAAAAUAUGUGAGUCAAAUCCUUUCUGUUUCUUUAACCACUAGGCAGUAUCAGGGCAGAGGAAGCAGUACCAGCUUGCACAAGCAGGCUGCAGAGCAGACGGACACGCUUGUAUGACGGCGCGGGGUCCCUCUCACAUACGUGCACACAUGCUCACACGCAGAGUCAUUCCUAACCUAUUACAGAAUGUGUUUGUCUGUCGGCUCUCGUAUUUUUAGCAUUUAUUUUUGCGAUACUGACUUUAUGUCCCACUGAGCAGGGGAGACAUUAUGAAAGCAGCAGCCUCGUGGCAGUGCAGAAGUAUUUCCCAUCUUCCUUCCCAUCCGAAAUUCUGUUUGGAAGAUACUAACAAACAGGUAUUUCUUACCUCUCAGACCUGCUGUUUG
Molecule: long non-coding RNA, 1891 nt
Organism: Anser brachyrhynchus (Pink-footed goose)
Lineage: Eukaryota; Metazoa; Chordata; Aves; Anseriformes; Anatidae
Source: Ensembl